GAUGAACGCUGGCGGCGUGCCUAAUACAUGCAAGUCGAGCGAACAGACGAGGAGCUUGCUCCUCUGACGUUAGCGGCGGACGGGUGAGUAACACAUGGAUAACCUACCUAUAAGACUGGGAUAACUUCGGGAAACCAGAGAUAAUACCGGAUAAUAUAUUGAACCGCAUGGUUCAAUAGUGAAAGACAGUUUUGCUGUCACUUAUAGAUGGAUCCGCGUCGCAUUAGCUAGUUGGUAAGGUAACGGCUUACCAAGGCAACGAUGCGUAGCCGACCUGAGAGGGUGAUCAGCCACACUGGAACUGAGACACGGUCCAGACUCCUACGGGAGGCAGCAGUAGGGAAUCUUCCGCAAUGGGCGAAAGCUUGACGGAGCAACGCCGCGUGAGUGAUGAAGGUCUUCGGAUCGUAAAACUCUGUUAUUAGGGAAGAACAAAUGUGUAAGUAACUAUGCACGUCUUGACGGUACCUAAUCAGAAAGCCCCGGCUAACUACGUG
RNAcentral lists this ribosomal RNA (497 nucleotides) under uncultured bacterium. RNAcentral's name for it is "partial 16S ribosomal RNA". It matches the Rfam family "Bacterial small subunit ribosomal RNA", at positions 28 to 507 of the family's 1533-position model. The record is from RNAcentral.